UUACGAAAACUUCGCAAUGCACGAAAGUGUGACGAGGGGAUUCUGAGUGCUUACGGUUUAUCCGUAGGCUUUUCGCCAGGGCAAAGACCUGGCGGAAUAAGUGGUGGGCAAGACUGGUGCCAGCCGCCGCGGUAACCCCAGCGCCACAAGUGGGAACCACGUUUAUUGGGUUUAAAGCAUUCGUAGCCGGUUCGGCAAAUGCCCUGUGAAAUCGUUCCGCUCAACGGGACGGCGUGCAGGGUAGACUACCGAACUAGGGACCAGGGGAAGGAGACGGUAUUCCUGAGGGAGCGGUAAAAUGUGAUAAUCUCAGGAGGACCACCGAUGGCGAAGGCAGUCUCCUAAAAUGGAUCCGACGGUGAGGGAUGAAAGCUAGGGGAGCGAUCCGG
This 389-nucleotide ribosomal RNA is filed under the name uncultured euryarchaeote. RNAcentral describes it as "bacterial SSU rRNA". It matches the Rfam family "Archaeal small subunit ribosomal RNA", at positions 339 to 727 of the family's 1478-position model. Lineage: Archaea; Methanobacteriati; Methanobacteriota. The record is from RNAcentral.